AUGAUGGGCGGCGGCGGCACCCGCGGGCGGCGGAGGUGGACGCAGCGGUCGUGCCGGGCGGGAGGAGCGGGCGGGGUCGUCACGCGGACGGUGGCGGCGCCGGAGGAUCGCGGCGCGAGCGCGGCUACGCGGCGGAGCGCUGCAGGGUUUGCUCAUGUGGACAAGCAGCAGCGUCUCUACGGACUAUCAUCACAAGAUUCCACAAGUAGCAGUAGAUCUACAAUAAUAGAAGAUUUUCUUCAUUCGGAUUUAUGUGAAUAUAAGCGUAAGAGGUCCAGCGGCAAUGCUACAAAAUGCCUUCCUAACCACCAUUCUCUGUCAUCCAUGAUGUCAGAAUCAAGGAAUCAUAGUGCAGCAACUGAAAUGCCGGCAGCUUCUGAAAAACCUUCCUUUUCAUGGCCAACAGAGAAGCAAGUCCCCGACAAUAAAAAACUUUUUCCUGCCACCAGUACUGUGUCGGAUAAUGGGUCGCCCUACCGUCCUAAAUUUCAUCUUGACAGAGGUAGGAACAAUGCAAAGCAGACUCCAACACCCAAAGAAUCCAGUGGCAUGUGCAGUUUCAGUUAUCAAUUAGCUAGAGGUGCUGGAAGAUCUGAUUCUAUGAAGAUGGGCCCUACAAGUGCAAAGUGCUCCCUUGCAGAGACAAUGUCGAUGUUACGUCAACGGCGGUUUGGUCGCAGUUACCAGAAUCAAAACCGCAUCGGUGCAUUAAAUCGGAGGCAUAAGAACACACAAUCUGGAGGAGCAAUCAACAUGGUAAAGAAAGAGGAGACUUAUAAUCAGUCUGAUUUGUCAACAGGAAGACACUGGCAAACUUUGUUGGAUAAUGCAUUAGUUCGAGGGAGGUUACAGCCACUCAAUGAGGAAUCACCUGAACAACUGUGGAGCUGUACAAACAGUGAAUCUGAUAAGGCGAUAUGCUUUUCCUCCGGUGGCAGCAUUGAUGGUUUGCAAGUAUCUUUUUCAAGUGACACUAGUGACACAAGUGAUAACUCCAAUUUAUCUUCUCUGGGUACAGUGUCAAAUGAUCAGUGGAGGAUGUCCUUCAAGAAGGUACACUGUCCACUUGCUGCACGGAUAAAUUAUAUCCCCCGAGCUUCCUGCAAGGAGAUUGAGCAGGCAAGCCCUGUAUCUGUUCUUGAAUAUCCAGCUGGGGAUUUUUCUGAUGCUGAAAACAUCAAGCAGGAUACAACAGAUCCUGAUGCUCCCCAGCUAAGGCAUGAGCUUCCAUCAGAAGAAAAUAUUACCGAGGUAGCAGUGGAUGCUGCAAUUAAUAAUUACUUGUGCUCUGAGAUGGAGGCUACUGAAACUGAUGAAACCAUACAGCUGGUUGAAGACACCCCUUGUGAAUUUGAGGACGAAGAGGAAAGAGAGUUCUGCUACUUGCUGGACAUUCUAAUUGCUUCUGGUAUUCAUGGCGUUGAGGAGGAUCAGCUGUACAAGGUGUGCCAGUCCCUUGAUUGCCCUGCAGGCUAUGACGUGUUUGACAAGCUUGAGAAGAAAUACAAAAAAGUGGCUCAAUGGUCAAGGGCAGACAGGAAGCUCACCUUCGACAUGGUAAACUCCAUACUGUCGGAAAUUCUUGCCCCAUGUUUGGACAUGCACCCUUGGGCAACUACCGCGAGGAAUAUGGCGCCAGCGUGGGGCUCAGAGGGCCUGUUGGAGAAAUUGUUGCAGGUCUUGACUCGGCGGCGAGAAGAACUUGCGCCAAGAGUGCAUAAGAAGGAGAAACAAGUGUUAAAUCAGAAAUGGCCAGAUUUGGCAGAUUACAUCGAGAGGGCAGGUAGGGAUGUUGAGAGGAUGAUAAAGGAUGAUCUUCUGGAAGAGCUGGUUCUGGAGUUGAUGUCCAGCUAG
This 1854-nucleotide ribosomal RNA is filed under the name Triticum aestivum (bread wheat). RNAcentral describes it as "partial small subunit ribosomal RNA". Lineage: Eukaryota; Viridiplantae; Streptophyta; Magnoliopsida; Poales; Poaceae. The record is from RNAcentral.